Molecule: long non-coding RNA, 1256 nt
Organism: Glycine soja
Lineage: Eukaryota; Viridiplantae; Streptophyta; Magnoliopsida; Fabales; Fabaceae
Exons: 2
Source: RefSeq, a predicted model, not a curated record
AAAAAAAGAAGGUACGAAUGAAUUGGGAAUUUGGAAUUGUGUCUGUGACUGAGACUAAGCUCUCAACUUAAAACCCUUGCUGUUGUUCACUGUCGCCGUCGAAACGGGGUUCCUCUGUGGUAGUUGGAAGGUCGCACCGUGCCACUAUUGCACCAGGCUGCCUCGUCAUCGGAGGGGGUCACGGUGAAGUGUAUUCUGCUUUUGUGUAUGUUAUAAUUUCAAUAUGAAUUCAGAUCUUAUAAUCCUCCGUUUGAUCCUAUGAAGGACAGACACUUGAAGAAAAGAAUCAAAAGAUUGAAAGACAUGGUUGAGCCAGAUAAAAAUUGCGAGACUAGGGUUGAAGAUGUUGCUUGGCCUUGCUCCCUUUCAGAGUCUGAGAUUGCUUGGCUAAUGUAUUCCGAUCACAUUGGGAUGGCAAACGUGUGCUUAUUAUUCCAAAAUGUCUAAAAAAUUUCCGACGAUAAGUAUUCAUAUCUAAUCAUGGUAGUUGAGUUUUGGAGUGUGAUUGAAAAUUUGAAACGUUCUGCAAAAUUUCUCAUAAUUAUUUUUCCUAGUGUGCACAUGGCUUGAAGAAACUAAAUGGGCUCUAUUAGCCAUGGUCUUUUGGUCUUUUGGUGCACUUGGAUGAGGGCUAUUGCUUUCUGCACUUUUCAGUUGCUUCUUGGGCUCUCUCUUUGUCUUUUAAAAUGGCCAAUCCGAAAUGUAAUUAAAUUACAUUUGGGAAUGCACUCCCUUUUUUGCUUAUGGAAUGACCAAUCUGGAAGGUCAAAAAAUAUUCUGAAAAGAGUGUAGGAAGCAACUUAGGAAGUGCUGGAAGUAACAACCUUGGAUGAGGUGUAAUGGGAAAUUAUGGGAUGGAACCAGAUUCUAAGGUGUAUGUAUGUAGUGCUGAACUGUGAUUUCAGUGGCUUGGCAACCUCCACCUACAUCUUAUCUAAAAUGUAAUGUAAAUGUUGUGUUCUUUAAUUUACAACACAAGAUUGGUGGCUUUGGCAUGUGUUUAAGGGAUGAAAAGGGAGUUUUGGUUGGGGAGAUUUUGUUAUGUAGAUGCAUGAGGGAGAGGCUUUUGCUUUGCUACAACUACAAAGUGUUUGAUAGAAUGCACCAGCCCACUUUAGAUGUUUGAGUGUUGAGUCCUAUAGGAACAUAUCUUAUGUAAUUGCUCAUUGCAAGGGCAUAUCUUAUGUAAUUGCUCAUUGCAAGGGCAUAUCUUAUGCUAGUUUCCAUGUUUUCAAUUAUAUUCCGUUUUGUAUUGA